UCUCAUGUGCUCACUCAUUACAGGCUUCCACACUGGGAAACUGAGCUGAACCUAAUUAGACCACAAAGAAAUAUGGUAUAAUUGGUCUGGGGCAGCUCAGUAAUACGUAAUGAGGAAGUUUAAUUGGCUUCUUCUUUGUUUUACUGGUUCUAGAAUUUCUCGUUUGCUUUGGAUAUUGGGCCAACUCCACCUCACCUUGCCAUGGGAAGCAGAUGAAUAAAAAGAUGAUGAUGAUGAUUAGUAAUUUGGUUAUGUCAUAUGCCAUACACAGUGAUGGCAGACAUUGCUGAGUUACGCAGUAAAAGAUGGGGAUUCCCGAUUCUUGGAUGCUGUCAGUAAUGGGAGUAUCAGGCUUAAGAGUAUCAUUUAAGAAAUUAUAUAAGAGAUAGCAUUAAAAAAUGUCACUGUUGCUUUGUAAUCUUUGUUUCUGUGUAAUGGAGUUAUAACCAAUGCCAAGAUCUCUAACCAUCAUAGCUAGAAAUUACAGAUACAUGUAGAAAUUAAAUUAGGACCUACCACCAAGGUGAACAUAUUUUUGGUUGAUAUAAACAGAGCAAGGAAGGUCAUGUAAAAUUCCUUCCUUCCUUCCUUCCUUCCUUCCUGCCUUCCUUCCUUCCUGCCUUCCUCCCUUCCUGCCUUCCUCCCCUCUUUCCAUCCAUUACAUUCUUCUGCCCCUGAAGUGGAAUAUUUGAAGAUUCAGAAGUAAACACUGUUACAAAUGAAUUCUCACUUCCAGUGAGGGCCUCUAACCAAGCACCUGGGGAAAUUCCUCAGCAUCCCAUCUUGAAAUCACCUUUUUAAAUGUUUUGCUUUAAUUUUCAGUCUCCUAUUACAACUUCUGCCUGGCUGCUUUGCUCCCUUUGACAGCCUAUCAGGAUCUCUCUGUGCUCAAGAAUCACAAGAGUACAGUAGGAUACAGUGAAUCAUCCCUGUGCUAAGUCUCCUUUUUAUUUCAAGGGGAAAAAGCCAAAAAGUUCAUGAUGUGUAGCUGGAGCAUCAUUUUCCAUCCUUUGUUCACACAGCUUGUAGAUAUGAAUGAAAGGCUCUGUAGCAGGAUAAACUUGGGCAUUUGUGGGUCACUACUACCAUUGCACUGUGUGUCAGGAGGUGACACAGCUUAGAGACCCUACAGGUUUUGGAGUCCAGGACAUCCCUCUGGCUGCCCUGGCUGUCUCAAAACCCUGGCAGGGGUCUCAGAGACCUUGGCAAGAAGUCAAAAACAUCUGUGGCUUCGAUUUUAGCCUGUGGAAAAAAAUGUCAAUUUUGUCUGAAGAAUUAGAAGCCACAAGGGUUUUAGUAGUGUGAUAUUUGAACUAACACAGGGUGAAAAAGUAGAAUUUUGGGAUUUUUAGGAUAUAAUUUAGGGGGUCAAGAUAGAGGAAUUUGGGUGUGUCCUAGCCCUCUUUUCCUACUUCUUGUCCUCAAUGUCUUGGUGUGAUGGUGGCACUUUUCUAUUGGUUUAAGGUAGAGAUUCACAGUCUAACAUAGGUGAUGGGAAUUGGUGAAGAAAUUGUAAACAGACUACACGUAACUUUUGAUAUAAAAGGAAAACACCACCCAAGAGGGCAGAGCAGACUGCCAUGGCUUCCUUUCUAGGCAGAGAUCAGCAGGUCAGAGAAAGAAUGUUUAGAUAAGAAGAAAUAAACAACCUUGAAAACGCAAUCAGAAGCAUUCCAGGCUCCUUCUUUGGCUGAGUCGGGCUAGGAAGCAAAGACUCUUUACGAUCUCAACCACCAGAAAUCGAUGUACAGGGUCUGGAUAUGUUUGUGUAGCUGCAGAGGUGCUUCCAUGCUGAGUGUAGCCAUCCCUCCAGGACUUGAACUCUGGAGGAGAAAGAAAGUACCUGUAGAGACAAACCAGAGAGCCCAGGGGACUCUGGCUGGUGCUGGCUGCACAACAUGAAAGCAGGAUCAAAGAAUCAUGGAAUGGUUUGGGCUGGAAGGGAUCUUAAAGGUCAUCUAGUUCCAACCCCUCUGCCGUGCACAGGAACACCUGCCACUAUCCCAGGUCACUCAGAGUCUCAUCCAGCCUGGUGCCGAACCCUUCCAGGGAUGGGUCAGCCACAGCUUCUCUGGGCAAUCUGUGCCAGGGCCUCACCACCCUCACCAUAAAGAAUUUCUUCCUAAUAUUUAAAAAAUAUUUAAAACCUAAUCUUCAGUUUAAGAAUAUCAUCCCUCAUCCUCACUAUUCACACCCUUGUGAAAAGUCCUUCUCCAAAUCUCUUGUAUCCCCUUCAGGCACUGGAAGGUGUUCUUGGGUCUCCCCAGAGCCUUUUCUUCUCCAGGCUGAACAACCCCAGCUCUCCAGGCCUGGAUCCAUAGUAGAGGUGUUCCAGCCCUGGGAUCAACGUAGAGUCCUUCUCUGGACUCAUUCCAAUAUUUUUCUUGUAUUGGGGGCCUGAGGUUUGGCCACAGUACUGCAAGAGGGGUCUCACAAGAGCAGGGUUCACUGAAAAAACCCCAGGAGUGAUUACUGCCAUCCUCUGCCUAACUGUGGCACUAACUUUGUGGUAUCCAUCUUGCUGUCACACUAGAUAAAGAAACAAAUCAAAGCAAAAAAUGAUUUCAUGGAGAAUGCUGAUGCACCAGAACAGCUCCUGGAAUUCCUGACCACCAGGCAGUGCUGACAGCAGCAGGAAGGAAAACACCAGGCAGGUCUGGGAUGUCCUCUGCCUUUUGUUUUCUGGCUUCAUGAUUCCACUGGGCUGUUUCUGACAUGCUCAGCAGCAACACCAAAUGCUGGGAAGCCUGUGCCAGGAUCCUCCAGUCCUGCACAUUCCGAGCACAGACUCAGCAAUUCUUCAAUCUGCAGGAUGGCUUUAGUGUUCGUUUUCUUUACAGGUAAGUUGGAUUCACUGCUGAGCCCAGAUUUACCUUAUCUUACUUUAAGCAUUUAAAAAUGAGCACAGCCACUUUCAGCUCCUAUUACAGUCAGUGGAAAAAGAUCUUGGGAUAGACUCUACUACCCUCUGGAGAUUCUUAUGUUUCCCAAGGGCUGCUGUGCUCAAAAUUUAGAGCCUCGGUUAGGUAGGGUGAGUCUAGACGGAUUUUCCCUUCACAAAGCUCCAAGAUAAAAACACUCUCUGGUGGGCUAUAAAGUUCCAUCAGGGCUGCUUCU
RNAcentral lists this long non-coding RNA (3117 nucleotides) under Taeniopygia guttata (zebra finch). RNAcentral describes it as "lncRNA (ENSTGUG00000026790.1)". The record is from RNAcentral. Lineage: Eukaryota; Metazoa; Chordata; Aves; Passeriformes; Estrildidae.